Long non-coding RNA from Nicotiana tabacum (common tobacco), 613 nucleotides. RefSeq lists it as uncharacterized. The record is from RefSeq and is a predicted model, not a curated record. Lineage: Eukaryota; Viridiplantae; Streptophyta; Magnoliopsida; Solanales; Solanaceae.
AACCAAAUAAAAAAGAAAAAGUGGUCAGACUCAAACCCAAAUUUCCUUUCCAUAAACGUUCCCCAAGCCCAUACCCCACCCCAUGCCAGCCCCCAACGAACCCUAGAAUCUCAUUACCCUCAAACCUCCCCGUAAAACCAUAUCUUCCCCUUCCCCAAAUUCAUCCAAUUGAGCAACUUCCACCGACGAUUUCGUCUCUUCGACCUAUAAAUCACUAAUCCAAAUCCGACGACUCCUUUUAAUCUUUUUCGUCUUCUCUACCCCUUUCAUGAUGCUACUACCAUCCCCUUAAUUACAAUGACAAGGGUGGAAUUUAGCCAGAAAUAGGGCGGAUAGUGGAUAAGAUUCGUUGGCUCGACUGCUAUAUAGUCAGUCGGACGGCCAAAAGGAGUCACUCCUAAAUUCAGCCUAGCACUGCUCGUCCCAGGUUAUCUAAACUGCUUGUCCAGGGACAAAGGUUCGUCGAAAAGGAAAAUGGAUGUUGGCCAAGGAGGAAUCCAUAAACAAUUGAUUUUGUUUUCCAUGUGUUAUGCACAAUUGAAUGUAUUAUGGAUGGUGUAUACUUUGUAGAAUAGAUGGUAAUGAAAAGUUUAUGUCAUUUUUUUCAAUUAUA